Molecule: ribosomal RNA, 481 nt
Filed under: uncultured bacterium
Lineage: Bacteria
Description: partial 16S ribosomal RNA
Rfam family: Bacterial small subunit ribosomal RNA
Source: RNAcentral
GACGAACGCUGGCGGCGUGCCUAACACAUGCAAGUCGAACGGAGAUAUGAUUUCGGUUAUAUCUUAGUGGCGAACGGGUGAGUAACGCGUGAGCAACCUGACUCUUAGAGGGGGAUAACACCCGGAAACGAGUGCUAAUACCGCAUAAGAACACGACAUGGCAUCAUGACGAGGUCAAAGGAGCAAUCCGCUGAGAGAGGGGCUCGCGUCCCAUUAGAUAGAUGGCGGGGUAACGGCCCACCAUGUCAACGAUGGGUAGCCGAGCUGAGAGGCUGAUCGGCCACACUGGAACUGAGACACGGUCCAGACUCCUACGGGAGGCAGCAGUGGGGAAUAUUGGGCAAUGGGCGCAAGCCUGACCCAGCAACGCCGCGUGAGGGAAGAAGGCUUUCGGGUUGUGAACCUCUGUCCUUGGUGACGAAACAAAUGACGGUAGCCAAGGAGGAAGCCCCGGCUAACUACGUGCCAGCAGCCGCGGUAA